UACAGAGGGUGCGAGCGUUGUCCGGAAUCACUGGGCGUAAAGGGCGCGUAGGUGGCUUGGUCAGCGUGUGGUGAAAGUCCGGGGCUCAACCCCGGAUCUGCCAUGCGAACUGCCGAGCUCGAGCACUGUAGAGGCAGGUGGAAUUCCGGGUGUAGCGGUGGAAUGCGUAGAGAUCCGGAAGAACACCGGUGGCGAAGGCGGCCUGCUGGGCAGUUGCUGACACUGAGGCGCGACAGCGUGGGGAGCAAACAGGAUUAGAAACCCCCGUAGUCC
Molecule: ribosomal RNA, 273 nt
Filed under: uncultured bacterium
Lineage: Bacteria
Description: partial 16S ribosomal RNA
Rfam family: Bacterial small subunit ribosomal RNA
Source: RNAcentral